RNAcentral lists this ribosomal RNA (468 nucleotides) under uncultured bacterium. RNAcentral's name for it is "partial 16S ribosomal RNA". It matches the Rfam family "Bacterial small subunit ribosomal RNA", at positions 28 to 507 of the family's 1533-position model. The record is from RNAcentral.
GACGAACGCUGGCGGCGUGCCUAACACAUGCAAGUCGAACGGAAAGGCCCGGCUUUUGUGGGCUGCUCGAGUGGCGAAGGGGGGAGUAACACGUGAGUAACCUGUCCUUGACUUUGGGAUAACUUCAGGAAACUGGGGCUAAUACCGGAUAGGAUCUCCUGCUGCAUGGUGGGGGUUGGAAAGUUUCGGCGGUUGGGGAGGGAAUGGCGGCUUAUCGGCUGGUUGGUGGGGUAGUGGCGGACCAAGUCUUGGACGGGUAGCCGGCCUGGGAGGGUAGACGGCCCCAUUACGCCUGCGGUACGGCCCAGACUCGUAUCUGACGCAACGGUGGAGAAUCUUACACAGUGCGCGGAAGCCUGUUCUGACGCCGCCGCGUUCGGGAUGACAUCCUUCGGGUUGUGAACCGCUUUCGCCUUUGCCGAGGCGUUAGUGACGGUAAUGGGUGAAGAAGCACCGGCUAACUACGUG